AAAUAUUCAUAUCUAUACACAAAACAAAGGAAAUGACCUUGUAUACAAAAUGUCUUUUUACACAAUCAAAGAAAUUGAUUUUACAUUGAUAUAGACUUCUUUCAUCAGAGUAUAAAAAAUAUGACUUUAAACAAUUAUAGAAUUGUUUCAUCCUUGUAUCAAUCCUACAUAAGUUCUUUGAUCCUACACAUUGAUCUUCAAAUUACACAUUGAUCUUCAAAUGGAUGCUAAACAUUAAGCAGCAACGUGCAAACUGAUAUUCAGACACUUCUUCAAAUGCAGCCUACACAAUAAAGUCUAAUAAAAGUAAAAAACAAUAACAAUGGACAUUCAAAUUCAAAAAGAAAUUACCUUUGAUCAGAAAGGGAGAACUAAAGAAAAAUAAAAUUGAGAAAAAACAUGAAAGGAUGGCAUAGAAGAUCAAAGUUUGCAACUUUGAUAAAAAAACAGAGAAAACAAAAACAAAAAGAAAUUUCAGAAAGCUUUUGCAUGUGAGAAAGAAAGCUUUUUUUAUCAGAAACAGAGAACCAAAGACCAAAAAACAUGAGAAAACAUAUUGACAAAAUAAAAAUAAAAAUGAAAGGAUGACAGAGAAAAUCAAAGUUCGAAACUUUGAUAAAAAGAACAGAGAACAAUAAAUUUAAGAAAACUUUUGCAUGUUAGAAAGAAAGUUUUUUUUGUUUUGUUUUCAGAAACAGAGAACCAAAGACCAAAACACAAUAUUCUCCUAUCUUUGAUCCUACACAUUGAUCUUCAAAUUACACAUUGAUCUUCAAAUGUAGGCUACACAUUAAGCAGCAACGUGUUCUUCAAUCUGAUAUUCAGACACUUCUUCAAAUGCAGCCUACACAAUAAAGUCUAAUAAAAGUAAAAAACAAUAACAAUGGACAAUUCAAAUUCAAAAAGAAAUGACCUUUGAUCAGAAACAGAGAACCAUAGACAAAUAAAAAUGAGAAAAAGCGAUGGAAGACAACUUUGAUAAAAAGAACAAAGAAGAAAAAUAAACAUAAAUUUAAGAAAGGUUUUGCAUGUUAGAAAGAAAGUAAUAGAAUACAACCUGAACAGUUGAGUUGCAAUGCCUGUUUGAAUGCAUGGAGGAAGUGUUUGCCAUCUUUGAACUAGUAGUAAUGAUGAAAAACAAACACAUUGAAUAAGUUGGAUAAGAUGAACAAAAAGCGAAAAAUGAGAAAUAAGAUGAACAGAUGAACAAAUCAAAAGAACAAAAUAUCAGAAAGGCAAAAAUAAAGAGCAAUGAAAUUAACACAUGCUUACAACCCUAAAACAUGAACUCAACCCUAGUGAAAAAUACACCGUAUAUAUAGUGAAAAUAAUGGUGUUUUGGGGAAAAAAAGCUUUCAAAUACGACAUCUCUGAAGUUGUCGAAUUGGUGAAAAGGAGUAAAGGAUAGUAAUUAGGUUUUAGAGAUACAGAGAAUGGGGAAAGCGACGCUAGAAAGCAGAAAUUGAAAUUGAAAUUCAAAACAUUACCUGAAGGGUGCUCUGUCAUUGUUCUGCACAACUCCUGGAAUCGACAUUUGUAGAGCCAUACACGCCUCUGGAAAAGUCAUUGCUAGGCACACAAAAAACACAUUCU
RNAcentral lists this long non-coding RNA (1593 nucleotides) under Phaseolus vulgaris (common bean). Its description in RNAcentral is "long non-coding RNA (PVUL_LNC002221)". Lineage: Eukaryota; Viridiplantae; Streptophyta; Magnoliopsida; Fabales; Fabaceae. The record is from RNAcentral.